RNAcentral lists this ribosomal RNA (429 nucleotides) under Chloroflexota bacterium. Its description in RNAcentral is "Chloroflexi bacterium partial 16S ribosomal RNA". It matches the Rfam family "Bacterial small subunit ribosomal RNA", at positions 355 to 776 of the family's 1533-position model. The record is from RNAcentral. Lineage: Bacteria; Bacillati; Chloroflexota.
UGGGGAAUAUUGCACAAUGGGCGCAAGCCUGAUGCAGCCAUGCCGCGUGUGUGAAGAAGGCCUUCGGGUUGUAAAGCACUUUCAGCGGGGAGGAAGGCGAUAAGGUUAAUAACCUUGUCGAUUGACGUUACCCGCAGAAGGAGCACCGGCUAACUCCGUGCCAGCAGCCGCGGUAAUACGGAGGGUGCAAGCGUUAAUCGGAAUUACUGGGCGUAAAGCGCACGCAGGCGGUCUGUCAAGUCGGAUGUGAAAUCCCCGGGCUCAACCUGGGAACUGCAUUCGAAACUGGCAGGCUAGAGUCUUGUAGAGGGGGGUAGAAUUCCAGGUGUAGCGGUGAAAUGCGUAGAGAUCUGGAGGAAUACCGGUGGCGAAGGCGGCCCCCUGGACAAAGACUGACGCUCAGGUGCGAAAGCGUGGGGAGCAAACAGG